This 618-nucleotide ribosomal RNA is filed under the name uncultured bacterium. RNAcentral describes it as "bacterial SSU rRNA". It matches the Rfam family "Bacterial small subunit ribosomal RNA", at positions 202 to 842 of the family's 1533-position model. The record is from RNAcentral.
CAAAGGUGAGCCGGUACAGGAUGGACCCGCGUCUGAUUAGCUAGUUGGUAAGGUAACGGCUUACCAAGGCGACGAUCAGUAGCCGACCUGAGAGGGUGAUCGGCCACAUUGGAACUGAGACACGGUCCAAACUCCUACGGGAGGCAGCAGUGGGGAAUAUUGCACAAUGGGCGAAAGCCUGAUGCAGCAACGCCGCGUGAGUGAUGAAGGCCUUCGGGUCGUAAAACUCUGUCCUCAAGGAAGAUAAUGACGGUACUUGAGGAGGAAGCCCCGGCUAACUACGUGCCAGCAGCCGCGGUAAUACGUAGGGGGCUAGCGUUAUCCGGAUUUACUGGGCGUAAAGGGUGCGUAGGCGGUCUUUCAAGUCAGGAGUGAAAGGCUACGGCUCAACCGUAGUAAGCUCUUGAAACUGGGAGACUUGAGUGCAGGAGAGGAGAGUGGAAUUCCUAGUGUAGCGGUGAAAUGCGUAGAUAUUAGGAGGAACACCAGUUGCGAAGGCGGCUCUCUGGACUGUAACUGACGCUGAGGCACGAAAGCGUGGGGAGCAAACAGGAUUAGAUACCCUGGUAGUCCACGCUGUAAACGAUGAGUACUAGGUGUCGGGGGUUACCCCCUUCG